GACGAACGCUGGCGGCGUGCUUAACACAUGCAAGUCGAACGGAAAGGCCCUGCUUUUGUGGGGUGCUCGAGUGGCGAACGGGUGAGUAACACGUGAGUAACCUGCCCUUGACUUUGGGAUAACUUCAGGAAACUGGGGCUAAUACCGGAUAGGAGCUCCUGCUGCAUGGUGGGGGUUGGAAAGUUUCGGCGGUUGGGGAUGGACUCGCGGGUUAUCAGCUUGUUGGUGGGGUAGUGGCUUACCAAGGCUUUGACGGGUAGCCGGCCUGAGAGGGUGACCGGCCACAUUGGGACUGAGAGACGGCCCAGACUCCUACGGGAGGCAGCAGGGGGGAAUAUUGCACAAUGGGCGGGAGCCUGAUGCAGAAACGCCGGGUGCGGGAUGAAGGCCUUCGGGUUGUAAACCGCUUUCGCCUGUGACGAAGCGUGAGUGACGGUAAUGGGUAAAGAAGCACCGGCUAACUACGUG
This 468-nucleotide ribosomal RNA is filed under the name uncultured bacterium. RNAcentral describes it as "partial 16S ribosomal RNA". It matches the Rfam family "Bacterial small subunit ribosomal RNA", at positions 28 to 507 of the family's 1533-position model. The record is from RNAcentral.